GGAAGAGGUUAACUACUCGAUGACCGUGAGCACAUAACCCCAGGUCUCCUGGAGCCGAAGGACUGAUAAAUUUAAUCCCUGUGACACCGCCCUUUUUCUUCACCAUCAGCCAGUCAGAGAAUUGUGCACAAGCUGAUCACAGACCUGAGACAUCUCUCCCUCACCUGACUUUUGAUAAUGUCUUUCCAAAGCUUUCAGGGAGCUUGAGGCUUUGUAGGGCACGAGCCCUCUUCUUGCAAAGCCUCGCAAUAAACCUUUCUCUGCCCUGAACUCCAGCGUUUCAGUUUGUGUGGCCUCACUGUGUGUUGAGUCCAGACAAACUUACAUUAACAAUCCCACUUUCCAACUUCCUCAGAUGUGCCCACUAAGCUUCUGCCCCUCUGCCUCUUUAGAGUACUCACUGCCAUGAAUCUUGGACCUCGGCAUGGUCUCAAUUUUCUUCCUAAGCACUGUAAAUUAUUUGGGGCCAGGGCCUCUCCAUAUUUUGGCCACCUGAUGAGAAGAGCAGACUGAUUGGAAAAGACCCUGAUGCUGGGGAAGACUGAGGGCAGGAGGAGAAGGGUGUGACAGAGGAUGAGAUGGUUGGAUGGCAUCACCGCCUCAUUGGCCAUGAGUUUGGGCAAGCUACGGGAGAUUGUGAAGGACGGGGAAGGCUGGUGUGCUGCAGUCCAUGGGGUCACGAAGAGCUGGACACGACUGAAUGAC
Long non-coding RNA from Bos taurus (domestic cattle), 705 nucleotides. The record is from Ensembl. Lineage: Eukaryota; Metazoa; Chordata; Mammalia; Artiodactyla; Bovidae.